GUCUGAGAUCUUGAGAGUUUUCCGCGAAGACUUAAGUUUUUUGGGAAACUUAAUGUCGCGGGUUAUUGGCGGAAUGAAAUGUUGGUUUCAUUUAAAAUCCAACCAAAGCUUAGAGGGGCAUUAAUGCUCGGGGGGGCAU
RNAcentral lists this ribosomal RNA (139 nucleotides) under Synchytrium sp. DAOM 240977. Its description in RNAcentral is "partial 5.8S ribosomal RNA". Lineage: Eukaryota; Fungi; Chytridiomycota; Chytridiomycetes; Synchytriales; Synchytriaceae. The record is from RNAcentral.